This 497-nucleotide ribosomal RNA is filed under the name uncultured bacterium. Its description in RNAcentral is "partial 16S ribosomal RNA". It matches the Rfam family "Bacterial small subunit ribosomal RNA", at positions 28 to 507 of the family's 1533-position model. The record is from RNAcentral.
GAUGAACGCUGGCGGCGUGCCUAAUACAUGCAAGUCGAGCGAACGGACGAGAAGCUUGCUUUUCUGAUGUUAGCGGCGGACGGGUGAGUAACACGUGGAUAACCUACCUAUAAGACUGGGAUAACUUCGGGAAACCGGAGCUAAUACCGGAUAAUAUUUUGAACCGCAUGGUUCAAAAGUGAAAGACGGUCUUGCUGUCACUUAUAGAUGGAUCCGCGCUGCAUUAGCUAGUUGGUAACGUAACGGCUUACCAAGGCAACGAUGCAUAGCCGACCUGAGAGGGUGAUCGGCCACACUGGAACUGAGACACGGUCCAGACUCCUACGGGAGGCAGCAGUAGGGAAUCUUCCGCAAUGGGCGAAAGCCUGACGGAGCAACGCCGCGUGAGUGAUGAAGGUCUUCGGAUCGUAAAACUCUGUUAUUAGGGAAGAACAUAUGUGUAAGUAACUGUGCACAUCUUGACGGUACCUAAUCAGAAAGCCACGGCUAACUACGUG